CUGACAGCAGUAGCGUGCAGGAUGACGGCCCUAUGGGUUGUAAACUGCUUUUGUAUGGGGAUAAAGUCAAUCACGUGUGAUUGUUUGCAGGUACCAUACGAAUAAGGACCGGCUAAUUCCGUGCCAGCAGCCGCGGUAAUACGGAAGGUCCGGGCGUUAUCCGGAUUUAUUGGGUUUAAAGGGAGCGUAGGCCGGAGAUUAAGUGUGUUGUGAAAUGUAGACGCUCAACGUCUGACUUGCAGCGCAUACUGGUUUCCUUGAGUACGCACAACGUUGGCGGAAUUCGUCGUGUAGCGGUGAAAUGCUUAGAUAUGACGAAGAACUCCGAUUGCGAAGGCAGCUGACGGGAGCGCAACUGACGCUUAAGCUCGAAGGUGCGGGUAUCGAACA
RNAcentral lists this ribosomal RNA (390 nucleotides) under Prevotella sp. Its description in RNAcentral is "bacterial SSU rRNA". It matches the Rfam family "Bacterial small subunit ribosomal RNA", at positions 383 to 774 of the family's 1533-position model. The record is from RNAcentral. Lineage: Bacteria; Pseudomonadati; Bacteroidota; Bacteroidia; Bacteroidales; Prevotellaceae.